CACGUAGGGGCCAAGCGUUGUCCGGAUUUAUUGGGCGUAAAGAGCUCGUAGGCGGCUCGGUAAGUCAGGUGUGAAACCUCCAGGCUCAACCUGGAGACGCCACCUGAUACUGCUGUGGCUAGAGUCCGGUAGGGGAGCGUGGAAUUCCUGGUGUAGCGGUGAAAUGCGCAGAUAUCAGGAGGAACACCAGCGGCGAAGGCGGCGCUCUGGGCCGGAACUGACGCUCAUGCACGAAAGCGUGGGGAGCAAACAGG
This 254-nucleotide ribosomal RNA is filed under the name uncultured bacterium. RNAcentral describes it as "partial 16S ribosomal RNA". It matches the Rfam family "Bacterial small subunit ribosomal RNA", at positions 524 to 776 of the family's 1533-position model. The record is from RNAcentral.